RNAcentral lists this ribosomal RNA (1460 nucleotides) under Escherichia coli. RNAcentral describes it as "partial 23S ribosomal RNA". It matches the Rfam family "Bacterial large subunit ribosomal RNA", at positions 1508 to 2925 of the family's 2925-position model. Lineage: Bacteria; Pseudomonadati; Pseudomonadota; Gammaproteobacteria; Enterobacterales; Enterobacteriaceae. The record is from RNAcentral.
CGGUUUAAGCGUGUAGGCUGGUUUUCCAGGCAAAUCCGGAAAAUCAAGGCUGAGGCGUGAUGACGAGGCACUACGGUGCUGAAGCAACAAAUGCCCUGCUUCCAGGAAAAGCCUCUAAGCAUCAGGUAACAUCAAAUCGUACCCCAAACCGACACAGGUGGUCAGGUAGAGAAUACCAAGGCGCUUGAGAGAACUCGGGUGAAGGAACUAGGCAAAAUGGUGCCGUAACUUCGGGAGAAGGCACGCUGAUAUGUAGGUGAAGUCCCUCGCGGAUGGAGCUGAAAUCAGUCGAAGAUACCAGCUGGCUGCAACUGUUUAUUAAAAACACAGCACUGUGCAAACACGAAAGUGGACGUAUACGGUGUGACGCCUGCCCGGUGCCGGAAGGUUAAUUGAUGGGGUCAGCGCAAGCGAAGCUCUUGAUCGAAGCCCCGGUAAACGGCGGCCGUAACUAUAACGGUCCUAAGGUAGCGAAAUUCCUUGUCGGGUAAGUUCCGACCUGCACGAAUGGCGUAAUGAUGGCCAGGCUGUCUCCACCCGAGACUCAGUGAAAUUGAACUCGCUGUGAAGAUGCAGUGUACCCGCGGCAAGACGGAAAGACCCCGUGAACCUUUACUAUAGCUUGACACUGAACAUUGAGCCUUGAUGUGUAGGAUAGGUGGGAGGCUUUGAAGUGUGGACGCCAGUCUGCAUGGAGCCGACCUUGAAAUACCACCCUUUAAUGUUUGAUGUUCUAACGUGGACCCGUGAUCCGGGUUGCGGACAGUGUCUGGUGGGUAGUUUGACUGGGGCGGUCUCCUCCUAAAGAGUAACGGAGGAGCACGAAGGUUGGCUAAUCCUGGUCGGACAUCAGGAGGUUAGUGCAAUGGCAUAAGCCAGCUUGACUGCGAGCGUGACGGCGCGAGCAGGUGCGAAAGCAGGUCAUAGUGAUCCGGUGGUUCUGAAUGGAAGGGCCAUCGCUCAACGGAUAAAAGGUACUCCGGGGAUAACAGGCUGAUACCGCCCAAGAGUUCAUAUCGACGGCGGUGUUUGGCACCUCGAUGUCGGCUCAUCACAUCCUGGGGCUGAAGUAGGUCCCAAGGGUAUGGCUGUUCGCCAUUUAAAGUGGUACGCGAGCUGGGUUUAGAACGUCGUGAGACAGUUCGGUCCCUAUCUGCCGUGGGCGCUGGAGAACUGAGGGGGGCUGCUCCUAGUACGAGAGGACCGGAGUGGACGCAUCACUGGUGUUCGGGUUGUCAUGCCAAUGGCACUGCCCGGUAGCUAAAUGCGGAAGAGAUAAGUGCUGAAAGCAUCUAAGCACGAAACUUGCCCCGAGAUGAGUUCUCCCUGACCCUUUAAGGGUCCUGAAGGAACGUUGAAGACGACGACGUUGAUAGGCCGGGUGUGUAAGCGCAGCGAUGCGUUGAGCUAACCGGUACUAAUGAACCGUGAGGCUUAACCUUACAACGCCGAAGGUGUUU